Molecule: transfer RNA, 85 nt
Filed under: Rhodanobacter sp. SCN 66-43
Lineage: Bacteria; Pseudomonadati; Pseudomonadota; Gammaproteobacteria; Lysobacterales; Rhodanobacteraceae
Also listed under: 2 other names
Description: tRNA-Leu
Rfam family: tRNA
About the family: Transfer RNA (tRNA) molecules are approximately 80 nucleotides in length. Their secondary structure includes four short double-helical elements and three loops (D, anti-codon, and T loops). Further hydrogen bonds mediate the characteristic L-shaped molecular structure. tRNAs have two regions of fundamental functional importance: the anti-codon, which is responsible for specific mRNA codon recognition, and the 3' end, to which the tRNAs corresponding amino acid is attached (by aminoacyl-tRNA synthetases). tRNAs cope with the degeneracy of the genetic code in two manners: having more than one tRNA (with a specific anti-codon) for a particular amino acid; and 'wobble' base-pairing, i.e. permitting non-standard base-pairing at the 3rd anti-codon position.
Source: RNAcentral
GCCCAGGUGGCGGAAUUGGUAGACGCACUACCUUGAGGUGGUAGCGCCGCAAGGCGUGGGGGUUCGAGUCCCCCCUUGGGCACCA